GGAUUGUGGCUCAGUGGAAGAGUGCUUGCUUAGCACGUGUGAGGCACUGGGUUCGAUCUUCAGCACCA
This 68-nucleotide transfer RNA is filed under the name Marmota monax (woodchuck). RNAcentral describes it as "tRNA.Ala". The record is from RNAcentral. Lineage: Eukaryota; Metazoa; Chordata; Mammalia; Rodentia; Sciuridae.